Molecule: ribosomal RNA, 253 nt
Filed under: uncultured bacterium
Lineage: Bacteria
Description: partial 16S ribosomal RNA
Rfam family: Bacterial small subunit ribosomal RNA
Source: RNAcentral
UACGAAGGGGGCUAGCGUUGCUCGGAAUUACUGGGCGUAAAGCGCACGUAGGCGGAUUGUUAAGUCGGGGGUGAAAUCCUGGAGCUCAACUCCAGAACUGCCUUCGAUACUGGCGAUCUCGAGUUCGGGAGAGGUGAGUGGAACUGCGAGUGUAGAGGUGAAAUUCGUAGAUAUUCGCAAGAACACCAGUGGCGAAGGCAGCCAUCUGGACCGACACUGACGCUGAGGCGCGAAAGCGUGGGGAGCAAACAGG